RNAcentral lists this ribosomal RNA (253 nucleotides) under uncultured bacterium. Its description in RNAcentral is "partial 16S ribosomal RNA". It matches the Rfam family "Bacterial small subunit ribosomal RNA", at positions 524 to 776 of the family's 1533-position model. The record is from RNAcentral.
UACGUAGGGGGCAAGCGUUGUCCGGAGUUACUGGGCGUAAAGCGCACGCAGGCGGUCUCUUAAGUUUGGAGUGACAGUUGGUGGCUUAACUGCCAAAGUGCUUCGAAAACUGAGAGACUUGAGGGCUUCAGAGGGACACGGAAUUCCGGGUGGAGUGGUGAAAUGCGUAGAGAUCCGGAGGAACACCAGUGGCGAAGGCGACACGCUGGGCCGUACCUGACACUGAUGCGCGACAGCAUGGGGAGCAAACAGG